GAGCUUGUCCGGUGUGGGAGAUGGAGGUGCGGCGGCGGCUUCGGGUCUGCCGGGUCUUUGUGGAGGUCGGUGUGCACUGAGGCUGAAGAAGGUAGGACCUACUGGCUGAGAGCGAAAGGAAAUGGGGAAACAAUGGAGGUCGGUCUGUGGGGGAAAUGGAAAGGGAAACGGGGGGAGAGACUGCAAUGGUAGAGAGAAGCUUUUUGCUCUCUGGUUCUCUUUGGCUGAAAGGAGGGUGGCGUUGGCUUUGGGAGGAAAGUCGACGAGCAAGGAAAGGAAAGGCCUUGGCUGGUGAGAGGGGGAGCGAUUGUGAGAGGGAGAUGGUGGCGGCUGUAAGAGAAAAGGUGAGAUGGACGGGGGGGCCUGUUCUGGUUUCUUUUUGGUAAAGGAGAAGCGAGCGGCGACUUGGGUAUGAGGGAAGUAAGGGUUAAGGUUUUUUACGGUUUUUUGUGGUUUAGGGUUUCUUUAUGAU
This 472-nucleotide long non-coding RNA is filed under the name Populus trichocarpa (black cottonwood). RNAcentral describes it as "long non-coding RNA (PTRI_LNC004418)". The record is from RNAcentral. Lineage: Eukaryota; Viridiplantae; Streptophyta; Magnoliopsida; Malpighiales; Salicaceae.